This 377-nucleotide ribosomal RNA is filed under the name uncultured bacterium. RNAcentral describes it as "partial 16S ribosomal RNA". It matches the Rfam family "Bacterial small subunit ribosomal RNA", at positions 355 to 724 of the family's 1533-position model. The record is from RNAcentral.
UGGGGAAUUUUGGACAAUUGGGCGAAAGCCUGAUCCAGCAAUGCCGCGUGUGUGAAGAAGGCCUUCGGGUUGUAAAGCACUUUUGUCCGGAAAGAAAUCCUUGGCUCUAAUACAGUCGGGGGAGUACGGUACCGGAAGAAUAAGCACCGGCUAACUACGUGCCAGCAGCCGCGGUAAUACGUAGGGUGCAAGCGUUAAUCGGAAUUACUGGGCGUAAAGCGUGCGCAGGCGGUUUGCUAAGACCGAUGUGAAAUCCCGGCCGUCACUAGGCAUGGAAUGUGAUGCUGGCAGGCUAGAGUAUGGCAGAGGGGGUGGAAAUAUCCACGUGUAGCAGUGAAAUGCGUAGAGAUGUGGAGGAAUACCGAUGGCGAAGGCAG